AAUAAGUUCGUGUUGAUUAAAGAUGAAUUUGAUAGUUUCAUUGUGUUGGGAUUAUUAGUGUUAGUGGAAAUCGACAUCUAUUCCGAUGAUAAUUGAUGUCUGGGAGUUAUAUUGAUAAAUCGGGUAAUUAAUCGGAUAAAUGAGUAAUUAAUUGCUACUAAUUCACAUGCUUAUAUAACUAUUUAUUCACAUGUGUGUACUAUUGAAUCACAUUCUUGUAC
Molecule: long non-coding RNA, 221 nt
Filed under: Panax ginseng (ginseng)
Lineage: Eukaryota; Viridiplantae; Streptophyta; Magnoliopsida; Apiales; Araliaceae
Description: long non-coding RNA (PGIN_LNC008144)
Source: RNAcentral